Molecule: ribosomal RNA, 539 nt
Filed under: uncultured bacterium
Lineage: Bacteria
Description: bacterial SSU rRNA
Rfam family: Bacterial small subunit ribosomal RNA
Source: RNAcentral
GAGGAAUAUUGGUCAAUGGACGCAAGUCUGAACCAGCCAAGUAGCGUGCAGGAUGACGGCCCUAUGGGUUGUAAACUGCUUUUAUGUGGGAAUAAGUUGGCGCACGUGUGCGCCAUUGCAUGUACCUCAUGAAUAAGGACCGGCUAAUUCCGUGCCAGCAGCCGCGGUAAUACGGAAGGUCCAGGCGUUAUCCGGAUUUAUUGGGUUUAAAGGGAGCGUAGGCUGGAGAUUAAGUGUGUUGUGAAAUGUAGACGCUCAACGUCUGAAUUGCAGCGCAUACUGGUUUCCUUGAGUACGCACAACGUUGGCGGAAUUCGUCGUGUAGCGGUGAAAUGCUUAGAUAUGACGAAGAACUCCGAUUGCGAAGGCAGCUGACGGGAGCGCAACUGACGCUUAAGCUCGAAGGUGCGGGUAUCAAACAGGAUUAGAUACCCUGGUAGUCCGCACAGUAAACGAUGGAUGCCCGCUGUUGGUACCUGGUAUCAGCGGCUAAGCGAAAGCAUUAAGCAUCCCACCUGGGGAGUACGCCGGCAACGGUG